AGCCUGCCGCGUGUAGUGAAGAAGGCCUUCGGGUUGUAAAGUACUUUCAGCGGGGAGGAAGGCGAUGAGGUUAAUAACCUUGUCGAUUGACGUUACCCGCAGAAGAAGCACCGGCUAACUCCGUGCCAGCAGCCGCGGUAAUACGGAGGGUGCAAGCGUUAAUCGGAAUUACUGGGCGUAAAGCGCACGCAGGCGGUCUGUCAAGUCGGAUGUGAAAUCCCCGGGCUCAACCUGGGAACUGCAUUCGAAACUGGCAGGCUUGAGUCUUGUAGAGGGGGGUAGAAUUCCAGGUGUAGCGGUGAAAUGCGUAGAGAUCUGGAGGAA
RNAcentral lists this ribosomal RNA (324 nucleotides) under uncultured bacterium. Its description in RNAcentral is "bacterial SSU rRNA". It matches the Rfam family "Bacterial small subunit ribosomal RNA", at positions 390 to 706 of the family's 1533-position model. The record is from RNAcentral.